RNAcentral lists this ribosomal RNA (274 nucleotides) under uncultured bacterium. RNAcentral describes it as "partial 16S ribosomal RNA". It matches the Rfam family "Bacterial small subunit ribosomal RNA", at positions 523 to 796 of the family's 1533-position model. The record is from RNAcentral.
AGACGAACCGUCCAAACGUUAUUCGGAAUUACUGGGCUUAAAGGGUGCGUAGGCGGCGCGGAAAGUUGGGUGUGAAAUACCUCGGCUCAACCGAGGAACUGCGCCCAAAACUUCCGUGCUCGAGGGAGAUAGAGGUGAGCGGAACUUAGGGUGGAGCGGUGAAAUGCGUUGAUAUCCUAAGGAACACCGGUGGCGAAGGCGGCUCACUGGAUCUCUUCUGACGCUGAGGCACGAAAGCUAGGGUAGCGAACGGGAUUAGAAACCCCGGUAGUCC